CAGUCGCCGCGGUAAGACAGAGGUGCCAAGCGUUAGGCGGAAUCACUGGGCUUAAAGCGUGUGUAGGCGGGAGCGUAAGUACCUUGUGAAAUCCCACGGCUUAACCGUGGAACUGCUCGGUAUACUGCGUUUCUUGAGCUGAUUAGGGGCUACCGGAACAAGUGGUGGAGCGGUGAAAUGCGUAGAUAUCACUUGGAACGCCAAUGGUGAAAACAGGUGGCUGGGAUCAUGCUGACGCUGAGACACGAAAGCCAGGGGAGCAAACGGGAUUAGAUACCCCAGUAGUCCCUGUCUCUUAUAA
RNAcentral lists this ribosomal RNA (301 nucleotides) under uncultured bacterium. Its description in RNAcentral is "partial 16S ribosomal RNA". It matches the Rfam family "Bacterial small subunit ribosomal RNA", at positions 509 to 809 of the family's 1533-position model. The record is from RNAcentral.